AGAUUGAACGCUGGCGGCAUGCUUUACACAUGCAAGUCGAACGGCAGCACGGGGGCAACCCUGGUGGCGAGUGGCGAACGGGUGAGUAAUAUAUCGGAACGUACCCGGAAAUGGGGGAUAACGUAGCGAAAGUUACGCUAAUACCGCAUAUGCCCUGAGGGGGAAAGCGGGGGAUUCGUAAGAGCCUCGCGUUUUCGGAGCGGCCGAUAUCGGAUUAGCUAGUAGGUGAGGUAAAGGCUCACCUAGGCGACGAUCCGUAGCUGGUCUGAGAGGACGACCAGCCACACUGGAACUGAGACACGGUCCAGACUCCUACGGGAGGCAGCAGUGGGGAAUUUGGACAAUGGGCGCAAGCCUGAUCCAGCCAUGCCGCGUGAGUGAAGAAGGCCUUCGGGUGUAAGCUCUUUCAGCCGGAAAGAAAACGCAACGGUUAAUACCCUGUGUGGAUGACGGUACGGAACGAAGAACGACACGCAACUACGUAGCCACGCAGACCGC
Molecule: ribosomal RNA, 498 nt
Filed under: uncultured soil bacterium
Lineage: Bacteria
Description: bacterial SSU rRNA
Rfam family: Bacterial small subunit ribosomal RNA
Source: RNAcentral